Molecule: ribosomal RNA, 459 nt
Filed under: Photobacterium halotolerans
Lineage: Bacteria; Pseudomonadati; Pseudomonadota; Gammaproteobacteria; Vibrionales; Vibrionaceae
Description: bacterial SSU rRNA
Rfam family: Bacterial small subunit ribosomal RNA
Source: RNAcentral
UUCCUUCGGGUGCGUUGAUGGGCGGCGAGCGGCGGACGGGUGAGUAAUGCCUGGGAACAUGCCUUAGUGUGGGGGAUAACCAUUGGAAACGAUGGCUAAUACCGCAUAAUCUCUUCGGACCAAAGCGGGGGACCUUCGGGCCUCGCGCGCUAAGAUUGGCCCAGGUGGGAUUAGCUAGUAGGUGGGGUAACGGCUCACCUAGGCGACGAUCCCUAGCUGGUCUGAGAGGAUGAUCAGCCACACUGGAACUGAGACACGGUCCAGACUCCUACGGGAGGCAGCAGUGGGGAAUAUUGCACAAUGGGGGAAACCCUGAUGCAGCCAUGCCGCGUGUGUGAAGAAGGCCUUCGGGUUGUAAAGCACUUUCAGCAGUGAGGAAGAGGUGGUGUUUAAUAGAUGCCAUCUUUGACGUUAGCUGCAGAAGAAGCACCGGCUAACUCCGUGCCAGCAGCCGCGGUA